GACGAACGCUGGCGGCGUGCUUAACACAUGCAAGUCGAACGGAAAGGCCUCUUUCGGGGGGUACUCGAGUGGCGAACGGGUGAGUAACACGUGAGUAACCUGCCCUUGACUUUGGGAUAACUUCAGGAAACUGGGGCUAAUACCGGCUAGGAGCUCCUGCUGCCUGGUGGGGGUUGGACAGUUUGGGCGGUUGGGGAUGGACUCGCGGCUUAUCAGCUUGUUGGUGGGGUGGUGGCUUACCAAGGCUUUGACGGGUAGCCGGCCAGAGAGGGUGACCGGCGACAUUGGGUCUGAGAGACGGCCCAGGCUCCUACGGGAGGAAGCAGGGGGGAAGAUUGCACAAGGGGUGGAAGCCUGAUGCAGAAACGCCGCGUGCGGGAUGACGGUCUUCGGGUUGUAAACCGCUUUCGCUCAUGACGAAGCUUUGUGUGACGGUAGUGGGUAAAGAAGCACCGGCUAACUACGUG
RNAcentral lists this ribosomal RNA (467 nucleotides) under uncultured bacterium. RNAcentral describes it as "partial 16S ribosomal RNA". It matches the Rfam family "Bacterial small subunit ribosomal RNA", at positions 28 to 507 of the family's 1533-position model. The record is from RNAcentral.